AGAGUUUGAUCCUGGCUCAGGAUGAACGCUAGCUACAGGCUUAACACAUGCAAGUCGAGGGGCAGCAUGGUCUUAGCUUGCUAAGGCCGAUGGCGACCGGCGCACGGGUGAGUAACGCGUAUCCAACCUGCCUUACACUCUUGGACAGCCUUCUGAAAGGGAGAUUAAUACAAGAUGUUAUCAUGAGUAAGCAUUUUCGCAUGAUUAAAGGUUUACCGGUGUAAGAUGGGGAUGCGUUCCAUUAGAUAGUAGGCGGGGUAACGGCCCACCUAGUCUUCGAUGGAUAGGGGUUCUGAGAGGAAGGUCCCCCACAUUGGAACUGAGACACGGUCCAAACUCCUACGGGAGGCAGCAGUGAGGAAUAUUGGUCAAUGGACGAGAGUCUGAACCAGCCAAGUAGCGUGAAGGAUGAAGGUUCUAUGGAUUGUAAACUUCUUUUAUACGGGAAUAAACGGAUCCACGUGUGGAUUUUUGCAUGUACCGUAUGAAUAAGGAUCGGCUAACUCCGUGCCAGCAGCCGCGGUAAUACGGAGGAUCCGAGCGUUAUCCGGAUUUAUUGGGUUUAAAGGGAGCGUAGAUGGGUUGUUAAGUCAGUUGUGAAAGUUUGCGGCUCAACCGUAAAAUUGCAAUUGAUACUGGCAGUCUUGAGUACAGUUGAGGUAGGCGGAAUUCGUGGUGUAGCGGUGAAAUGCUUAGAUAUCACGAAGAACUCCGAUUGCGAAGGCAGCUUACUAACCUGUAACUGACAUUGAUGCUCGAAAGUGUGGGUAUCAAACAGGAUUAGAUACCCUGGUAGUCCACACGGUAAACGAUGAAUACUCGCUGUAGGCGAUAUACAGUCUGCGGCCAAGCGAAAGCAUUAAGUAUUCCACCUGGGGAGUACGCCGGCAACGGUGAAACUCAAAGGAAUUGACGGGGGCCCGCACAAGCGGAGGAACAUGUGGUUUAAUUCGAUGAUACGCGAGGAACCUUACCCGGGCUUAAAUUGCAACCGAAUAUGGCGGAAACGCUAUAGCUAGCAAUAGCGGUUGUGAAGGUGCUGCAUGGUUGUCGUCAGCUCGUGCCGUGAGGUGUCGGCUUAAGUGCCAUAACGAGCGCAACCCUUGCCGAUAGUUACUAACAGGUCAUGCUGAGGACUCUGUCGGGACUGCCAUCGUAAGAUGUGAGGAAGGUGGGGAUGACGUCAAAUCAGCACGGCCCUUACGUCCGGGGCUACACACGUGUUACAAUGGGGGGUACAGAAGGCAGCUACACGGCGACGUGAUGCUAAUCCCGAAAGCCUCUCUCAGUUCGGAUUGGAGUCUGCAACCCGACUCCAUGAAGCUGGAUUCGCUAGUAAUCGCGCAUCAGCCACGGCGCGGUGAAUACGUUCCCGGGCCUUGUACACACAGCCCGUCAAG
RNAcentral lists this ribosomal RNA (1400 nucleotides) under uncultured bacterium. RNAcentral describes it as "bacterial SSU rRNA". It matches the Rfam family "Bacterial small subunit ribosomal RNA". The record is from RNAcentral.